This is a long non-coding RNA of Solanum lycopersicum (tomato), 1035 nucleotides long. RefSeq lists it as uncharacterized. Lineage: Eukaryota; Viridiplantae; Streptophyta; Magnoliopsida; Solanales; Solanaceae. The record is from RefSeq and is a predicted model, not a curated record.
UCCUGAUUUAAGACCCUUUCUUUCCUAUCUUACACAAAAGACCCCAAAUUUUUAAUUUUCUUCAUUCUCCUCGUCUCCUCUCCAAGCCCGCUGCCCAGGCCUUUUUUUCCUUCUUCUCCUUCCUUGGUCCUCCUUUGCAGCCUGGAGAAAGAGUAGUGAAAAACAAUGGCGAGCUUCGAAAGACGCGCGAAUACCAUCAGCUAAUCUGCAUCGCUGGCACCAGCUCCAAUCAGCGAGCAACCAGGCGAUCAGGUGGUCUCCGAUCGGAACCAACAGUAGCACAGAGAUAGCGCCACCAGUUGCCUCCCUCUCCGGCGAAAAUGAUAGCAACAUUAGCUACAUGCAGUGAGUAGCGAUUGCAAGCACCGGCAACAGCCAGCUCCAACGAGCAACAUCAGCAAACGCCGGAGAGCGAGGCGAAGAUAACAGCGAAGUUCAUGGACAGUCGCCUCCAGAUUGUAAGCCAUCACUUUUAUAAAUUGAUCUUCUUUUUUAGGGCUUGAUUUCUCUUGGAGACUUGAUGAACAAAAUUGCAGACAAUGACCUCUUUGAUUGGGUUGGACGGGCUAAGAUUAUUGAUUGCAUUUGCAAUUCCAUUUUAGUGGAUCCUCAAACUAGACAGAAAAAAUAUGAAUAAAUAUUACAGUAAAAAACAAUCUCUCAAUCCGAUAUUAAUCAAUGUGAAGAAUAUUACCAAGCCACCGAGGGAUAAAGAAGCGAAGAAUACGCGGUUUCGGAAAAUGGAUAUAUUUGUAAAGCAAAUGAUUCUUUAUAAUCAUUUUUCUUGUUAUUAUGAAGCGGGUACAACAACUAGUUACUCUCGAAUUCAUCACUUGUGACACCAUGGGGCCUCCUCUUGCUACUACUAAUGAGGACGAGGUUUAUCCCUUUGUUUCAAGUAUGAUGGUAUCCAUUAAUUAGUCAUCUAUACUUUAGUUUUUGAUGUUUUCUGUUUUUAUGAAAAGUAAAAACUGUGCAAUAACAAUAGUUGAGGAAUGUAUGUUCUCUUAAGAAUAGUAGAUAAAUUGUUUUUGA